Vigna unguiculata (cowpea) is the source of this 1208-nucleotide long non-coding RNA. RefSeq lists it as uncharacterized. Lineage: Eukaryota; Viridiplantae; Streptophyta; Magnoliopsida; Fabales; Fabaceae. The record is from RefSeq and is a predicted model, not a curated record.
AAAAUGCAUGGGCUACAUGCCAAUUGGUUCUAUUAUUUAUGUUCAGUGCGGAUUAUUUAUGUUUUAGAGUGCUUGUGAUAAUGAUUCUUGAUUUUGUUUCAAUUAUCUCUAAGCUUGGUUUUAUGGGUGUGGUUUUGUUUUGCAUGCAUUAGUUUCAUCGAUGGUUUUAAGUUAAUGGGUGGGUGCUACUAAUGAGUUUGAUGUGGUUGUUCAAACCAAGGAUGUGCUGCAGCGUUUGGGAGUUAGUUUGUGGAGUGUGUUUUCUUUUAGGAUAAUGAUACAUUAAAACACUAAAUUUAACUACUUCUCUUACAACUAAACGUGACACUGAAACUUUAUUUAUUUUUAAUUGAUAUUUAUUUUCCACAUUGGCAAUUUCAUUUGGAAGAGGCAGAAAAGAAAGGGUUCGAACGAAUAGAGGGGUUCAAAGUUAUGUGCGUUUCAAAAACUCAAAACGUUGUUCAUCUUCCAUAACCUCUGAUUCAGUUGUUCAGUUGAUUAAGUUUGUAAACUCCUUUUGUUGGUGCUUUCCCCCUUCUUGGUCUUCGUGGAAACUUUCACCGUAGUUAAAUCAUUUAUUGAUGAGCAGUAGAAAAAUCGCAGGUGCAAACGAAACGCGUACCUCUAUUUUCGCGUUUCUUCUUCAUCUACUACCUCUUUGUGUAUCGUCUCCGUUGUCGCAUUCUCGUCGUGCCUAGCCUUGCCUUGCUCGGCCGUGACUACACCUGAUUUUCCUUGUAUUCUUCUUUCGUUUUCAAUAGAUAUUAUCAAAUUGGAAGGCUGCAAAGGCAUAUAAAGAUAGGGCUCAUUUAUAACAGUAGGGUUGAAGGCUUUAAUUCUGGAGGUCUGCGGGUUCAAUUUUAUUCUAUUAUGGGGUUUCUCCCAUUCCCCGAAUAGAGUCCAAUGCAUACUUGUAAAGAACCAGAGAAACCUAUCCAAGAAAUUACAAGAGGCUUAGUUGGUUCAGUCAUAUCGUCAAAGGUCUUUAUAACCUUAAUGGACUAAUACACAUCUCAGAGGUGUCAUGGGAUCUAGUUCAGGAUGUCAGAGAUAUCUUAAAAGUAGGCGAUGAAAUGAGGGCAAAAGUUGUUGGUAUUUCUGGGUGAGAUUUCCGAUAGUUAGGUUUUUUAAAGGAAAUUUUUAAGCAAAAUAAUCAAUUUGUUUUUCGAACCCAUGAAGUAUUCAGUUAUAUUUCCUCAUUGUAAAGA